Microdochium trichocladiopsis is the source of this 124-nucleotide non-coding RNA. Lineage: Eukaryota; Fungi; Ascomycota; Sordariomycetes; Xylariales; Microdochiaceae. The record is from the annotation of a RefSeq genome assembly.
GGGAAGAUGGCCGAGCGGUUAUGGCGCUGCGUUCAGGAGAAUCGACUAUUCUUAGCCGAGUCAAAAACCUGUUCAAUAAUUCGCAGUAGGGCAACCUGCGUGGGUUCGAAUCCCACUCUUCUCA